UGGUGGAGUGAUUUGUCUGCUUAAUUGCGAUAACGAACGAGACCUUAACCUGCUAAAUAGCCAGGCUAGCUUUGGCUGGUCGCCGGCUUCUUAGAGGGACUAUCGGCUCAAGCCGAUUGGAAGUUUGAGGCAAUAACA
This 138-nucleotide ribosomal RNA is filed under the name uncultured eukaryote. RNAcentral's name for it is "partial 18S ribosomal RNA". It matches the Rfam family "Eukaryotic small subunit ribosomal RNA", at positions 1299 to 1458 of the family's 1831-position model. The record is from RNAcentral.